AUACGUAGGGUGCGAGCGUUGUCCGGAAUUACUGGGCGUAAAGAGCUCGUAGGUGGUUUGUCGCGUCGUCUGUGAAAUUCCGGGGCUUAACUCCGGGCGUGCAGGCGAUACGGGCAUAACUUGAGUACUGUAGGGGAGACUGGAAUUCCUGGUGUAGCGGGGCAAUGCGCAGAUAUCAGGAGGAACACCGGUGGCGAAGGCGGGUCUCUGGGCAGUAACUGACGCUGAGGAGCGAAAGCAUGGGUAGCGAACAGGAUUAGAUACCCUGGUAGUCCAUGCCGUAAACGGUGGGCGCUAGGUGUAGGGGUCUUCCACGACUUCUGUGCCGUAGCUAACGCAUUAAGCGCCCCGCCUGGGGAGUACGGCCGCAAGGCUAAAACUCAAAGGAAUUGACGGGG
This 398-nucleotide ribosomal RNA is filed under the name uncultured bacterium. RNAcentral describes it as "partial 16S ribosomal RNA". It matches the Rfam family "Bacterial small subunit ribosomal RNA", at positions 523 to 918 of the family's 1533-position model. The record is from RNAcentral.